GAACUUAAGCAUAUCAAUAAGCGGAGGAAAAGAAACCAACCGGGAUUGCCUCAGUAACGGCGAGUGAAGCGGCAAGAGCUCAAAUUUGAAAUCUGGCCCCCUUGGGGGUCCGAGUUGUAAUUUGCAGAGGAUGCUUCGGGUGCGGUCCCCGUCUAAGUGCCCUGGAACGGGCCGUCAUAGAGGGUGAGAAUCCCGUCUGGGAUGGGCGGCCGCGCCCGUGUGAAGCUCCUUCGACGAGUCGAGUUGUUUGGGAAUGCAGCUCUAAGUGGGUGGUAAAUUUCAUCUAAAGCUAAAUACUGGCCGGAGACCGAUAGCGCACAAGUAGAGUGAUCGAAAGAUGAAAAGCACUUUGAAAAGAGAGUUAAACAGCACGUGAAAUUGUUGAAAGGGAAGCGUUGUCCACCAGACUCGCCCGGGGGGGCUCAGCCGGCACUUGUGCCGGUGUACUCCUCCCCGGGCGGGCCAGCAUCGGUUUGGGCGGCUGGUGAAAGGCCCCGGGAAUGUAACACCCUCCGGGGUGCCUUAUAGCCCGGGGUGUCAUGCGGCCAGCCUGGACCGAGGCCCGCGCUUCGGCGAGGAUGCUGGCGUAAUGGUGGUCAACGGCCCGUCUUGAAACACGGACCAAGGAGUCUAACAUCUAUGCGAGUGUUCGGGUGUCAAACCCGUCCGCGCAGUGAAAGCGAACGGAGGUGGGAGCCCCUCGGGGCGCACCAUCGACCGAUCCUGAAGUCUUCGGAUGGAUUUGAGUAAGAGCAUAGCUGUUGGGACCCGAAA
This 774-nucleotide ribosomal RNA is filed under the name uncultured fungus. RNAcentral describes it as "eukaryotic LSU rRNA". It matches the Rfam family "Eukaryotic large subunit ribosomal RNA", at positions 30 to 821 of the family's 3401-position model. The record is from RNAcentral. Lineage: Eukaryota; Fungi.